AUUUANNUAGUUUAUUAAAAUAUUGAUUUGUGGGAUCGAAGAUGUAGGAUUUACUUUAAAUA
This 62-nucleotide transfer RNA is filed under the name Drilus flavescens. RNAcentral describes it as "tRNA-His". The record is from RNAcentral. Lineage: Eukaryota; Metazoa; Arthropoda; Insecta; Coleoptera; Elateridae.